AGGCAGCAGUAGGGAAUUUUCGUCAAUGGGCGCAAGCCUGAACGAGCGAUGCCGCGUGAGUGAAGAAGGCCUUCGGGUCGUAAAGCUCUGUUGGCGGGGGGAAAAAAGGCAGCAUCAGGAAAUGGGGUGCUGACUGAUGGUGCCCCCGCCAGAAAGUCACGGCUAACUACGUGCC
This 175-nucleotide ribosomal RNA is filed under the name uncultured bacterium. RNAcentral describes it as "partial 16S ribosomal RNA". It matches the Rfam family "Bacterial small subunit ribosomal RNA", at positions 346 to 509 of the family's 1533-position model. The record is from RNAcentral.